Molecule: non-coding RNA, 4716 nt
Organism: Sus scrofa (pig)
Lineage: Eukaryota; Metazoa; Chordata; Mammalia; Artiodactyla; Suidae
Source: RefSeq, a predicted model, not a curated record
CUCAUCUGCAAUCUACACCACAGGUUGCAGCAGUGUUGGAUCCUUAAUGCACCAAGCUAGGCCAGAAAUCAAAACUGCAUCCUCAUGGAUACAACUUGGGUUCAUUUCCACUGAGUCACGACAGGAAGUCCUAAACAAAGAUUUAUUAAUUUAGCUUUUUAGAACUUACAAUUUUGAGAUUUGGCAGGAUUAAAAAAUAAAGACUUACACUUAAGAAUUUAAUUAAGCCAGAUGCCAGUCACAUUGAAUUAUUACAGCUGGGUGAAAAUUUUUUUUUUUUUUUUUGGUCUCUAAGCAACUGUUAGCACAGUGCUUGGAGCAUAGCAGAUUUCAAUAAAUAUUUAUUGAAUGAAUGGGUGCAUUUCAUGCUUCAUUUGAGGCUCAUAAUAAUGAAGCGCUUCAUUGCUAAUGGUGAAAAUCUGUAGCUUGUUAAUGUUUGCCAAGGGUUUAGCAGGCUGCACUAUGCCCUGGAAGGAGGCUGAUUCUGAGAUGGGCCAUCAGUUCAGAGCAUAACCUGAGAAACAGUGACAGGAGUCAUAUUCUCAUGGGUCCCCCAAGAUGACAGCAUGUCUUCCUUGACUCUGGGACAGACUCUAUCUUCAGAGAAAUGCUGACAUUCUGUUGCUAAUUAUUGCUUCAAAACUGUUGAAGAUAUUUUAUUCAACAUCUUAAAUAGAACUCAUUUCCUUGGUCAUUUUCUGGUCAGAUAUUUUAUUACGAAAUAUUUGAGUUUAUUCUGGAGUGUAUAUUUAUUUAGCCAUCAGAAAAAAGACAUCUGCCUAUCAGCUGAUACUGGAAGAGGACAGAAAGUCCCAUAAAAUACUAUGGAAAAAAAUGAGGCUACACCAUGAAAGAGAGGGGAUAUUUGUUUUUUGGAUGGGGAAGGGGAAAGAGAAAAGUGUCAAAGGUAGAAGAUUUUUUUUCCCUCUUGUUCAAAAUGCAGAUUCUUAAAUAGGCAAAAGGGAAAAAUAUCCCUGGCCCCUGAAUAAAGAAAGGAAUUCUUCAGAAAGAUGGACCAAAACAAGCCAUGGGUGAAUUUAGGUUUAUCUCUUAUACCAACUCAAUCUAUCUCAGUGGCUAUUGCUGGUAAGGAUUCUGAGGUUGCAUCCAGACUUAGGCAGAUAGAGUUUGUAUGAUAUGGCCCAGAAUGGGCAUUUGUAACAAGUUCCCUAUAUGUGUCUUUACAUGCUAAAAUUGAACCUGUAGCACUUAGCUACUUACAAUGUGUACAGGACUAUUCAAUUCCAUAUCCAUAACAAUUGUUAACUAGGUACUUCGUUUCCAACAGGCACUUGUCUAAUUAUUUACCUAAAUCAUUUAAUAUUUAUUAUAAUUCUAUUGUGCAUGUAAGUAAACUAGGAAAAAAAAAAACCCAGAAGUUUUUGUAAAUUGCUCAAGGUCUCAGAGUUAGUAAAUAUCAAAGCAAGGAUCUAAGGCAAGUUAUUCUCUCUCCAGAGGCUGUAUCCUUUACCACAUUCUUAAGGUAGUGCUUAAGAUUUAACAAUGUACAUGUAGUGAAUUGGGCAUCACUUUCUAUGGAUAAUCUAGUUUUGCCUCUUUGGGCAACGUUCACCAAAAACAUGGCAGUCAUUAUUUCAAAGAUGUCUUAGGCAUAAAAAAAUAAGGAAGUUAUAAAGGAGGGAAGAAGCAGUUAAAAAACUGGGAACUCAAGUGGGAGUUGAAGAUGAGGGGAAUUAGAGCACAGAGGUUGUCAGGGAAGGGUAAUAGAAACACUUCAGGCAAAAAGGGAAAGCUGCAUUUUUUUAGUGGUCUAAAUUGAAAAACACUAACAGGGCAUAACCAGAAAUAUUUAAAUCUCAGGUCACUUGAGAGAAAGAUUCUAGAUGCAGGAUUUCACCAUUGGCCACAGCCUAAUAGUAUCUCUACAUUAUCUAACAAAUUUCCUAUAGAUCUUGAACUUUCAUCGCUUCUCAAGUGUGGCAUAUAGUCAAGUAGUCUGCUUCAAGAUGACACACUUUGCGAUAUGCCAAGGAAAAUGUCUUAGGAAAAAAGACAAAUUUCCAAAGUUCAAAAUUUUAAAUCUGAACUUUUAGAGACUAGUAAUGAAUUCAAUAAUAAACACAAUAGCUAACAUGUUUUAGGACUUACCAACUCAAAUACUAUGUUAAAUGAUUUUAAAUGACUAGUUUCUAUAUUCUUUAUGACAACCUAUGAAUAGCCUCAAGCUCCUGAAUACUAUGUAAAUCACAGAUGUGAAAUAGAAAAAGUGUAUUUCUCAUGUAGCUCUGAAUAUAAUAUCAUAAAAAAUCCAAUGAUAAUGAAGAAUAUGCAAAUAUGACCAUCACAUGGUCUUUAGAUAACACAGUUUAAAUGCACUAAAUUUCAUGCUUUUUAGGAAGUAUUUAUGAAAUAGGUGACAGAGUAACUUUAUGGAUGAUCAAAAUAAUCUAUUUUAGUACCCAAACACUUUACAGACUAAACUGCUAAUUAUAAAAGACAGCUUUGUAUUACAACAUCACAAACCUCCUCUGGAUACCACAGGGUAUAUAAAUUUAUCAAAUGAAGCCUCGGUACCUCAGGGGAGACAAACUGUGUAUUAAUCCAAAUAGGAAUGUGUGGUUUAUGGACAAAUACAGGGGAAGGAAGGUCGACUCAUGAAUAAUAAAACUGGGACUCUUACCUGGGCUCUGCCUUGAACUAGCUCUAUACCAAAUAAAGAUACUUCCUCUUACUACUUUCUCAGAAAAUGAGGUGCUAAAGGGAGCAGAUCUAUGAGAUUUCCUUUAAAAUGUUAUAACUCAAUAUACUAAGAAGAUGACUUUGGCCAGACACUAAAGAGAUCCAUGGAUGGAUAGCCACAGUUUUGAGCAAAGAAAAGUGACCAGGUAAGAAAUGAUUAUUCCAAAAUAUUAAGAUGUAAGCAAUGUUUCGUAAACUCUGCCAAGCUGCCAAAGUACCCUAACGUCUAGAAUCUCAAACUUAUACAGACAGUCGGCUAGGCAACCAGGGUUUUAUAACUCUAACCUUUGUAGGCAGAAAAAUAAGAUAAUUGAAUUCAUUUCCCUUUUCCCAUAAAACUAGACCCAGGUGCUCCUGAACAGGGUAUGUGGAAUCUAACUAUCUACCUUCAUGCCCAAACCACCACACCUUUUGAAUUUUGGAGAUAAUAUUUCUUCCGUGUAAAGCUUUUAAAAAUAAAAACUAAAAUAUUUUAUUCCUUACUUUAUCAUCUCAGAAAUAAUUUCUUUGGCUACUUAGAAAUAUAUAUUCAUAAUUUAUUUAAUAAUCUAUUCAUUCAGUUAUUAAGUUAUUGAGCAUUCACUAUGCACCUAGUAGUGGGCACAUGGCCAGAGCAUGCAUGCAUACAUAAACACACAUGCCCAGCUGUGUACCCUUAUCCACAAAUCCACUAUAGCUUCAUGGAGGAUAGGGAGGAUAGAUCUUAAUACAGGGUUAAGCAGAUAGAAUAUGUUUGGGAAAUACUUGUCAAAUACUUUCAUGUGACCUGACCUAAAGAAAGGAAAAAUAUUUGAAAGUGAUAUCUUAAAACUUAAAAGAGAUGCCAUAAAAAUACUGUCAUAAAACUUAUGGUUUUAUAUUCCAUAUUAAUAAAAAUAUGCUCAAUAAUACUUUGAAUAUACACAAUCAGGGGUGGGGGAAGAGGAUACAAAAAACGUUGUAAUAAAAGGUUCCUUUUGUCGGAAUUCCCUUGUGGUGCAGAGGGUUAAGGAUCCAAUGGGUCAAGGAUCCACAGUUGUCACUGUAUCAGCUGCCAUGGUGUGGGUUCUGUCUCUGGCCUGGGAACUUCCAAUUGUUGCAGGUGAGACCAAAAAAAAAAAAAAAAAAAAAAAGGUUCCCAUUCUCAAUGAAUUUAUAGUACAAUUUGAUGCAUACAAUAAUUUCUCAAAAAAUUAAAAUUCAAAGCUAAAAAAUAAAUCCAGGAAAAGGUGUAAAAUUGUGUGAGGUUCAAAAUGAGAUCAUAUCGCUUUGAAGAGAAAUUAGGAAGGAUGUAAUAGCUACCACUUUUGAUCACUCUGAAUACUGUUCUAAGUGUCCUACAUGUAUUAAUUCAUUUAACCCUCACCGAGCCCUAUGAUGUAAGAACUAAUAAUUUUUACAUCCAAGGAAGCCGAGGGCUGUCUUGAAAAAUGUGUAGAAGAUUUUGACUGAAGAAGGAAACCCCAAGCAACAUCAUACAGGUUCUAAGUGUUCAUGGCCCAGAAUAAACGUGGCUUGGUUCAGAUGCAGGAGUUCAGACAACCUCCUGGGGAUACUUGAGGAGUCUGAGGCCAGGCUGACCAACUCAACCAAGCCAACAUGGUGCCUUUAAAGACUGAGUAAUAGCACUAAUGGAGACAACUAUAAGGACUGUUUCUCACUGCUAAGGAAGAGCUCAUGAAGUGCUCUGAGUCUAUGAGGACAAAUGACUCAGUUUGAAAAGGAUAAUCACGACGGAUGGAAACUGUAGCAAAAUGGAGAUCACAAGCUCCAUCUAAAAGAGGUGACCACUCCCUAGCUCUAAAGGAUUGCUGCCAUGCAGGAAUAUUAGCUCAGUUUUACAAGAGCCAUUCCCAGGACCAGAGAGGAGGCCCCUUCAGCAGAGAGAUUGACUUAUGCAAGAAUAAGGGCCGAACCAUGCCUGAGCUAUUUAAAACAUCCUUACGCUGUCAUCAGAAGUUGCCUUAUCUAUUAUCACCUCUGGCAGAAGCUGUCCAUUGGGGAGCAUGAGAGCUGAGGGUCCAUCAACCAAGGAGA